Molecule: non-coding RNA, 202 nt
Filed under: Jannaschia aquimarina
Lineage: Bacteria; Pseudomonadati; Pseudomonadota; Alphaproteobacteria; Rhodobacterales; Roseobacteraceae
Source: RNAcentral
CUACGGUCGAGGCGCUUCGGUCCGGGCGGCACGCCGUCCGGUGAAAAGGGAACGCGGUGAGGGCUCUGCCCGAUUCCGUGGCUGCCCCCGCAACUGUGAGCGGAGAGCGAAGCCGGAUCACGCCACUGCCCCCCGGGGCGGGAAGGCCCGGCAAGAGCUGUGACCCGCGAGCCAGGAGACCUGCCGAUGCGUCACCCCGUCC